RNAcentral lists this transfer RNA (97 nucleotides) under Imshaugia aleurites. RNAcentral's name for it is "tRNA-Leu". Lineage: Eukaryota; Fungi; Ascomycota; Lecanoromycetes; Lecanorales; Parmeliaceae. The record is from RNAcentral.
GUGCUGGCAGUGGUUAUGGCGCCAGGUUAAGGUUACCUUAAUUCUCAAAUUCCUGGUCACGAAAGUGGCGUGGGUUCGAAUCCCACUCUGUUCACCA